CAGGAAGCGGGCAGUGGAGACCAAGAUUCAGUCCUGCUGCACAUUAAGAGGAAGUCAACCCAAAAGCACAGAGGCCCAGGAUGAUGGAAAUUAAGCAUAGCAAGCCAGCUGGGCAGGUCUGUUCAAAAUUUUAAGGGAAAGGGAAAUAAUAGCAAACUCCCCACAAUCCUAGUCAAAAACCCUUUAUGAGCACAUCGAUCUGAGCAAAGCCAAAGGAACCAAUCCCAGCACUGCAGGACAUGAACGCUGGAGUGGACCCACAG
This 263-nucleotide long non-coding RNA is filed under the name Anas platyrhynchos platyrhynchos (common mallard). RNAcentral describes it as "lncRNA (ENSAPLG00000025870.1)". Lineage: Eukaryota; Metazoa; Chordata; Aves; Anseriformes; Anatidae. The record is from RNAcentral.